RNAcentral lists this long non-coding RNA (5753 nucleotides) under Panax ginseng (ginseng). Its description in RNAcentral is "long non-coding RNA (PGIN_LNC017130)". Lineage: Eukaryota; Viridiplantae; Streptophyta; Magnoliopsida; Apiales; Araliaceae. The record is from RNAcentral.
UAAAAUACUAUACUCACAAAAAUAUUCGAUUUUUUUCGAGUUGUCACUCAAUUUCAAAGAUGAAUUUUCAAAAAACGGACGCGUUUUUGAUUGUUUUGGUGGUAUUUGUUGUUAUGACGAGCCAAACCGCAGCAAGAGUGUUGACGGAGGAGGAUUUUGGUGGUUCUAAUCAUUUUGAAAAAUACUCUUCCAUUUACAACAAGGUGAAGAACUCCAUGGCGUUAUGGCUUGAGAGGUUGCCGUCGGGACCUAGCCCUAGAGGACCAGGUCACUAAGUUAUAUAUAUAUAUAUAUAUAUAUAUAUAUAUAUAUAUAUAUAUAUAUAUAUAUAAGUUAUAUAUGUGUGUGUGUGUGUGUGUGUGGAAGUUUUGAAGAAUUCAGGCACAAGAAUAAGUAGAUUUUAUGGCCUUUUUGAUUGUUUUGAUGGUUAUUUUUAUAAAUAAUGCAGAAAAUACAACAUUCUUUUCUUCUUUCUUUCUUUUAUUCAUGUAAUUAUCCAUAUAAUAUAGGAUAUUAAUAAAGUGAACACAAUUCUUUAUUAAUUUGCUUCACGAAACAAUUGUAUUAGUUUUUGAUAGAUAAAUAUGGACUCGGUUAGAGUGAAAUUGACACUAAUUUUAUAAGUUCAUAUAACUUUUUUUUGUACUGGUAUAUAUACAAAAUAUUACAUUAACCAUUGUAAUAAAAAAUUAUACAACUUAUUAAUACAUAUAAUUUUUUCUAUUUAUGAGCUCCAAACCCAUAAAAUUAUCCUAUUUAAAUUAGGAGUAUUUUAAUUCCGUAGGAAUGUUUUCCGAGAUAGAGAAGGAAUUGGGCUCCAAUUAUUAAUCACGUGUUAUUAAUCAUGUGAGCUUAUGGUGGUGGUUUAUUUCCAAAAAUCAGAAAGAUGUCUUUUAAUAUGGCGAGUUGCAGGUGGAUUCUUCCCCAAAUCAAAAUCAAAAUCAAUAAUAACAUAUACUAAAUGGGCUGAUAAUCAAUUUUGGCCAUUCAAAAAAUUAACAUAUAUUAAAUUAAAUCAACCCAAACAAUAAAAAUUAUUACACAAACUUAAAUAUAUUGUCAUUAUUAAAAUCACCGAUAAUCAAAACUAACAAACAUCAUUCUAAAAAUCUUUGUAAGUACUAGCUAGGAUAUAUAUCAUUGUUUUCAAACCAUCUAAUAAAUUGGGAGAACGUUAUAACAUCAUUCUAAAAAUCUUUGUGAUAAAUUACAAUUCACACAAUAAUAUAUUAUCAAAGACAAUUUCAGAUGAAACCCCCCNNNNNNNNNNNNNNNNNNNNNNNNNNNNNNNNNNNNNNNNNNNNNNNNNNNNNNNNNNNNNNNNNNNNNNNNNNNNNNNNNNNNNNNNNNNNNNNNNNNNUCGAUACUAAACUGGGAAGAAGAUUUAACAAGUGUCUUGAACUCCUCACUUACCCGAUCAUACUUGACAAUUUUGUCAUAACCUACUUGCAUAACAAUCUCACCCCCGGUAACACACAAUGGGAUCACCAAAUUCGAAAUCUCCAAGCGCGGAAUUUCCAGCAUUUUAAACCAAGAUUCCUUAACUCCAUACUCUUCCAUCACCCAUAUACUCCACACCUUUGGCCCCUGCCCAUAAUAAUCAUAAACCACACACAAAAACCCUUCUAAAACCCCUAAAUAAAUAAGUAUAUAAUUAUUAUCAUCAUGAGGCAGUGGUAACACCUUAUAUUCUUCCCUCUCUAAAUCAAGCGAUACGAUCCCUUUGCACACACGACCCUCCAUGUUGCUUGUAAACACAAUCCAAUGCAAAAAUCCAUUAAAACCCGUCCCCAUUAUCUUCCAAAUAUUUUCAACUUUCGUGGGAAAUCGUCCAAUUAUUUUCCAAGAAUUGGAUAUCCGCGAAUAGAUUCUUACUCUUGUUUGAUCACCUCUUACCACCUUAAAAUCGUCUGUACUAGAAACAUAACCAAUCCCAUAAAAUGGUGAGGAAUCUUCUUGUUGUUGUUGUUGUUGUAUAGAUGGUAAUUUCAUGCAGUCCCUUGUAGUAGGGUUCCAUAGAAAUAGGUCACCAUUGAAUGCACUCAACACCAGGCCAUUACAAGAACUAAAAAAAUGAACAGUUGGUAUACGAGAACUAAAUAAUUGAGUUGGAAUUUUGAGAUUUUCAAUAACAACCGGAGAAUUAUAGCAGAUCAUAGAUUGACAUCUCAACGGCCCGAAAAACGAGGCAAUCAGGAUUUGUUUGUGGGUAUUGUUGUAAAUAUUGAGGAAAUCGGGAUCGGUGAGCAAAUUACGCCAAGAUUUGCAAACGCACCUGAAACGAGCCAUGGGUUUUGCUGGUAAUAAGAGAAGUACUUCAUAGAGUAUGUCAUCUGGAAGGGAUGCCAUUGUUGAAUGGUAUUCUUUUUUUUAGUUCAAUAGGGUUAAAUAUAUAUAGGAAUUGGAAAUUAUAAUACAAACUUGAUUCGGAAAAGGAAAGCCUUUUCUUCUUUUUGGAACCAAUAUUUAAGUUUUCUUAAUUGGAAAGUAAGAUAUGUAUAAAAAUUAAGAUUUGGUAAUAUAAAUUAAAUAGAAUCCUAUUCGAACAAGGGGUGCAUAACCUUCAAUAUAAACAAAUUGAGUUUUGUUUUUUUAAUGGGAUAUCGAUCCACUUUUAAUGGGAUAGGGAUAUAAAGUUUUAGAGGUGCUCUGUUGUUAGUAUUAUCAAAAUAUAAACAAUAAAAAUGAGUUUUUUUUUUAAUUUCUAAAACGUAAUAACUAAAAAAAUCAACAAAAACCCACUAUCUCUUUGUAUCAUUAUAUUUUCUUUUGAAAAUCCCACUUUUUACCAAUACAAUAUAACAAGCUCAUCAAUCAAACCAUGUGCGAAGCACAGACAAUAUGAAUAAUUAUUUUUUGUAUUAUUAAAUGAAUACAUAUUAAUUAAAAUGUUGAGAAGAUAUAUAAUUGAAGUUGUUAGAUUAUUAAAUGUAUAUUUAAAUAAUAAUUAUUGAAUUAUAUAUUAUAGAUUACUUCAAUCAAUUAUUAAUCUAAAUAUUUAAAUGGAGUGAAUAUUUAUUUAGUUAUGAGUUUGAGAAAAUAAUUAUUUUAAUUUUAUUUAAGUUUGGAAUGGAAUUAUAUUAGUUUUUAUAUUGUCAAAAUUUACUUGAAAUUCUAAUCCAAAUAGAAGUAUGAAACUCAAGUUCUAAUAAGUUUUAAUUUAGUUGUGACAAUUAAUUAGUAAAGAAUUCAUUAUAAUUUUUCAACUAAUUUUACAAUUAUUAUGUUCUGAAAUAAAUUCGUAUAUAUUAUUAAUAGGCAGAAUUGUAAAAUUGUACCCCAAGUUACCAUCCAAUUUCAAUAUGACUCUUAAAUUUUUAAAAGUCUCAAUGUUGCCCUCCGACUGAAUUGGGGCAUUUUUAAGGGCAAAAUAGUAAUUCCACCUAAAUAAUUUUAUUUUAAGUAAUUAAAUAAAAGAACUAAAUAUCAAAAUAAAUAAAACAAACACAAGCACACACCAAUAAUGUAAGACCCCAACUUAUUAUAAAUAAAAAUCGAAUUUUCUCUAUUUAUUAUUGUGAAUAAUAAGGUGAUAAUUUGAUAUAAUACUUUGGUUAUGGGUGAAAUGUGCAUAUUUUGCAAAAUAAUCAAGUGGUUAUAAAAUAUUCAUUGUGUCGGGGAAUAUUCGUUUGGUCAUGGAAUAUUCUUUCUGUCGGGGAAUAUUCGUACGACGGUGCAGCCAUUUGUGGGCCCUAUAACGGAUAACUUCGGAUGAAGAAAACGACAAAGUAUGAGUUUUUAUAAAUAACGGCGUAAUUAUCACCGUUAACACUGUUGGAAUACCUGGUGGUUAAAAUACAGUAAUACGCGUUGUUGCACAGUAGCACAUGGUAUUGCACAGUAUUGUUGAAUUAUUGAUCCUUACGUAAGAAGUCAUUACUCAAUAAUUGUCACAGUAGUUACUGUUUAAUAUUUUAUUUUAUUGAUUCAAUAAUUGCUACGUUGAUAUUUAUAUUAUUAAUAUUGUUGUUUCAAUAAUUGUCACUGCACAUCAUCUCCAUUAUCAGAUCAAUAAUUCAUAUUAUUUGGAAUAAUAUUAUUAGAUAACAUUAUUGGCAAUGUCUAGAAAGUUCUGUCAAGGAGAGGUUUGGUCACCUAAUUGCUCGCCAGUAAGGAAAAAUCCUUAUUGGAAAGCCCCCCUCUUUCCUGGGAACGGCCUGGUUGUCUUAAAUAUGAUUCUGUAAUAUUAUUUAUGAAUAAUUAAUUAUUGAUUCAUAUGAUAAGGAAAUAUUUAUUUUAUGUGGAUAUAAAUGUUGGAUAUAUUUAUUGUGGUUAAAAAUGAAGGAGUUAAUGUUGAGGUGUUUUAUCAGUAUUUUUAUCGAAAUGGAGGUAUUAAAAAUUAAACCAGUGUUUUUGAGAUAUAUUGCGUGAGUUAUAAUUUUUAAUCCGACCGUUGGAUCGUUGUGAUUUUUGGAUAUGUUAUACAUAUAUAAGUUGAGUAUAUGUCCACAAAUUUUGAACCGUUAAAAAUGAACGUAUGAUUUGUUAUGAAUUUUAAGAGGUGACUGAUUCAGAAAUUAGGUUUAUAAAUGAUUUUGGUGGAAAAUUCUAGAAUUGAGUGGGCCCCACUUGUGGUUGGUGAAGAAAUGUGCUGAAUUUAAUUUAAAUGUGGUGGGUGGGAAUAGUAGCAGGUAAAGCCAUCAGGUUGCAGGUCAAGUCUGCUAACAUUUUCCUAUAAAUAGAGGGCUAAGUUAGAAUUGAAAAUCACACCAGAAACAUAAAUUUUCUCUCUCUAUAUUAUCGAGCGUAUUCUUGUGAGUAUUUUGAUACUUUGAGUGUUACUAUACGGUGCAAGUUCCUUCAACACUAUAUCCGAUAUUUCGAUCAGAAGUACUGUUCGUUUGAGGUAAGAGAUGUUAUUUUCUUCGUAAAUGAUAUUAUUUCUUCAAUAUCAUUAUGCCGAAAUAUUGGUCUGAACUUUUUAUCAAAUUUAGAACUUUUUGUGUUGGAGUUACUAUUCACGUAUACAACACUAUUCACGAAUACGACACUAUUCACCAAAAAAUGAAAUUUUCUCCUUUUUUGUCCAAGAUGUCUAUUAUGGUUACUAUCUUUGAUUGUAUCCAUGUUUUGAUCUUUAUUCUUGAAUUUUGCUUCGAAAUUGGUUAUUAUGGAGUAUUAUUGAUCUUGGAUAAACUGUAAUACGAAUCUCUAAUAUUUGUUAUUUUGUUUCACUGGAUUUAUUUUCUUUAAUAUAUUUUUCAUCAUCCUCAGACCUAAACGAUGAUAUUACUGAAUAUCUUUGGCCUGUAGUGCAAAGAUGAAUGAUUAACUGAUGAAUAUCUUUGACCUAUAGUGCAAAGAUGAAUGAUUACCUAAUGAUAUCUUUGGCCCGUAGUGCAAAGAUGAACAGGUGUUGAGAUGAACAUGACCAACUGGUGAUACAAAUGAAUAUAUUUGGUCUGUAGUGCAAAGAUGAAUAUUUGAUUAAAGAUGUAUAUUGAUUGUUGUUACAGGGAUAAAAUAUUGAUGAUGGACUUUUAAAUCUUAGAAGAUAGUAGAACUCAUUCUCUACUUGACUCUUCUAAUGGAUUGUUGUUUCCGCUGCAGUUGUUGAUCUAAAACUUGUUGUCUAUUAUAUUUUAUCAGAUUUUUCCAUGUUGAAGACUAACGAUAAUUUGUUUUAUAUUAUCUUAGUCAUAAUAUUUUUUACUGGGCUAGUUGAGCUCACCCUUUUCCUUUUUAUUCCAUUAUUCUUCUCAGGAGGAGAGAAUUUAGCAGGAACUAGCCGGGGUAUGGAGUGAUGAUUCAAG